This 1239-nucleotide ribosomal RNA is filed under the name metagenome. Its description in RNAcentral is "bacterial LSU rRNA". It matches the Rfam family "Bacterial large subunit ribosomal RNA", at positions 1564 to 2813 of the family's 2925-position model. The record is from RNAcentral.
UGAAUACGAGACGCUAAGGCGUUGAAGUAGUGUAUGUCAUACUUCCAAGAAAAGCUUGCACUGUCAUAGAUAAAAAACGCCUGUACCAUAACCGACACAGGUGGGUAGGUAGAGUAUACUAAGGGGCGCGAGAUAACUCUCUCUAAGGAACUCGGCAAAAUAACUCCGUAACUUCGGGAGAAGGGGUGCCUUAUUUAUAAGGCUGCAAUAACAAGAUCCAAGCAACUGUUUAUCAAAAACACAGGUCUCCGCUAAGUCGUAAGACGAUGUAUGGGGGCUGACGCCUGCCCAGUGCCAGAAGGUUAAAGAAGUUGGUUAGCAAUAGCGAAGCUGAUAACUGAAGCCCUGGUGAACGGCGGCCGUAACAAUAACGGUCCUAAGGUAGCGAAAUUCCUUGUCGGGUAAGUUCCGACCCGCACGAAAGGCGUAAUGAUUUGGAUACUGUCUCGGAGAGGGGCUCGGUGAAAUAGACUUGUCUGUGAAGAUGCGGACUACCUGCACCAGGACAGAAAGACCCUAUGAAGCUUACUGUAACUUGAAAUUGAAAUUGGACUUUAUUCGCGCAGUAUAGGUGGGAGGCGUUGAUUGUAAUCUUGCGGGAUUAUUGGAGCCAUCAGUGAGAUACCACCCUUGUAAUGUUAGAUUUCUAACUUUGAAUCAUUAUCUGGUCAAAGAACAGUUUCAGGCGGGCAGUUUGACUGGGGCGGUCGCCUCCUAAACGGUAACGGAGGCGUACAAAGGUUUCCUCUGAACGGUUAGAAAUCGUAUCUAGAGUGUAAAGGCAUAAGGAAGCUUGACUGUGAGACCUACAAGUCGAGCAGGGACGAAAGUCGGUCUUAGUGAUCUGACGGUACUGAGUGGAAAGGCCGUCACUCAACGGAUAAAAGUUACUCUAGGGAUAACAGGCUGAUCUCCCCCAAGAGUUCACAUCGACGGGGAGGUUUGGCACCUCGAUGUCGGCUCAUCGCAUCCUGGGGCGGUAGUACGUCCCAAGGGUUGGGCUGUUCGCCCAUGAAAGCGGUACGCGAGCUGGGUUCAGAACGUCGUGAGACAGUUCGGUCCAUAUCCGGUGUAGGCGUUAGAAUAUUGAGAGGAGCCUUCUUUAGUACGAGAGGACCGAGAAGGACAUACCUCUGGUGUACCAGUUAUCGUGCUAACGGUAAACGCUGGGUAGCUAUGUAUGGAGUGGAUAACCGCUGAAAGCAUCUAAGUGGGAAGCCCACCUCAAGAUAAGUAUUC